Molecule: non-coding RNA, 72 nt
Organism: Lysinibacillus xylanilyticus
Lineage: Bacteria; Bacillati; Bacillota; Bacilli; Caryophanales; Bacillaceae
Source: Rfam
CGCGGGGUGGAGCAGUGGUAGCUCGUCGGGCUCAUAACCCGAAGGUCGUUGGUUCAAAUCCGGCCCCCGCAA